UUGGCCACCUGGCUCUGAGAACUGAAUUCCAUAGGCUGUGAGCUCUAGCAAAUGCCCUAGGGACUCAGUUCUGGUGCCCGGCUGUGCUGC
RNAcentral lists this microRNA precursor (90 nucleotides) under Myotis davidii. Its description in RNAcentral is "mir-146 microRNA precursor family". It matches the Rfam family "mir-146 microRNA precursor family". Lineage: Eukaryota; Metazoa; Chordata; Mammalia; Chiroptera; Vespertilionidae. The record is from Rfam by way of RNAcentral.